UACGGGGGGGGCAAGCGUUGUCCGGAAUUAUUGGGUGUAAAGGGCGCGUAGGCGGAUUUGUAAGUCAGUGGUGAAAUCUCGGGACUUAACUCCGAGUCUGCCGCUGAGACUGCUUUUCUUGAGUGUGGAAGAGGAAAUCGGAAUUCCCGGUGUAGCGGUGAAAUGCGUAGAUAUCGGGAAGAACACCAGUGGCGAAGGCGGAUUUCUGGUCCACAACUGACGCUGAGGCGCGAAAGCGUGGGUAGCAAACAGG
Molecule: ribosomal RNA, 253 nt
Filed under: uncultured bacterium
Lineage: Bacteria
Description: partial 16S ribosomal RNA
Rfam family: Bacterial small subunit ribosomal RNA
Source: RNAcentral